RNAcentral lists this ribosomal RNA (234 nucleotides) under uncultured Limnohabitans sp. Its description in RNAcentral is "partial 16S ribosomal RNA". It matches the Rfam family "Bacterial small subunit ribosomal RNA", at positions 1 to 243 of the family's 1533-position model. The record is from RNAcentral. Lineage: Bacteria; Pseudomonadati; Pseudomonadota; Betaproteobacteria; Burkholderiales; Comamonadaceae.
CUCGGAGUUUGAUCCUGGCUCAGAUUGAACGCUGGCGGAAUGCUUUACACAUGCAAGUCGAACGGUAGAGGGGGCAACCCCUUGAGAGUGGCGAACGGGUGAGUAAUAUAUCGGAACGUGCCCAGUCGUGGGGGAUAACGUAGUGAAAAUUACGCUAAUACCGGCAUACGAUCUAAGGAUGAAAGUGGGGAUCGCAAGACCUCAUGGCUCGUGGAGCGGCCGAUAUCGUGAUUA